Molecule: ribosomal RNA, 253 nt
Filed under: uncultured bacterium
Lineage: Bacteria
Description: partial 16S ribosomal RNA
Rfam family: Bacterial small subunit ribosomal RNA
Source: RNAcentral
UACGUAGGGUGCAAGCGUUAUCCGGAAUGAUUGGGCGUAAAGCGUCCGCAGGUGGCAGUUCAAGUCUGCUGUCAAAGACCGGGGCUUAACUUCGGAAAGGCAGUGGAAACUGAACAGCUAGAGUAUGGUAGGGGCAGAGGGAAUUCCUGGUGUAGCGGUGAAAUGCGUUGAUAUCAGGAAGAACAUCGGUGGCGAAGGCGCUCUGCUGGACCAUAACUGACACUCAGGGACGAAAGCUAGGGGAGCGAAUGGG